AACGAACGCUGGCGGCAGGCUUAACACAUGCAAGUCGAACGCCCCGCAAGGGGAGUGGCAGACGGGUGAGUAACGCGUGGGAACAUACCCUUUCCUGCGGAAUAGCUCCGGGAAACUGGAAUUAAUACCGCAUACGCCCUACGGGGGAAAGAUUUAUCGGGGAAGGAUUGGCCCGCGUUGGAUUAGCUAGUUGGCGGGGUCAAGGCCUACCAAGGCGACGAUCCAUAGCUGGUCUGAGAGGAUGAUCAGCCACAUUGGGACUGAGACACGGCCCAAACUCCUACGGGAGGCAGCAGUGGGGAAUAUUGGACAAUGGGCGCAAGCCUGAUCCAGCCAUGCCGCGUGAGUGAUGAAGGCCUUAGAGUUGUAAAGCUCUUUCACCGAUGAAGAUAAUGACGGUAGUCGGAGAAGAAGCCCCGGCUAACUUCGUG
RNAcentral lists this ribosomal RNA (431 nucleotides) under uncultured bacterium. Its description in RNAcentral is "partial 16S ribosomal RNA". It matches the Rfam family "Bacterial small subunit ribosomal RNA", at positions 29 to 507 of the family's 1533-position model. The record is from RNAcentral.